AGUUACCAUCAUUAAGUUGGGGACUCUAGAGAGACUGCCGGUGAUAAACCGGAGGAAGGUGGGGAUGACGUCAAAUCAUCAUGCCCCUUAUGGCCUGGGCUACAAACGUAAUACAAUGGCGUAUACAAAGGGAUGCGAAAGAGCGAUCUGGAGCAAAACUCAUAAAGUACGUCUCAGUUCGGAUUGAAGUCUGCAACUCGACUUCAUGAAGCUGGAAUCGCUAGUAAUCGCGGAUCAGCAGGUCGCGGUGAAUACGUUCCCGGGCCUU
RNAcentral lists this ribosomal RNA (268 nucleotides) under uncultured Erysipelothrix sp. RNAcentral's name for it is "partial 16S ribosomal RNA". It matches the Rfam family "Bacterial small subunit ribosomal RNA", at positions 1113 to 1382 of the family's 1533-position model. Lineage: Bacteria; Bacillati; Bacillota; Erysipelotrichia; Erysipelotrichales; Erysipelotrichaceae. The record is from RNAcentral.